AGCGAACGCUGGCGGCAGGCUUAACACAUGCAAGUCGAGCGGGCACUUCGGUGUCAGCGGCAGACGGGUGAGUAACACGUGGGAACGUACCCUUUGGUUCGGAAUAACGCUGGGAAACUAGCGCUAAUACCGGAUACGCCCUUUUGGGGAAAGGCUUGCUGCCGAAGGAUCGGCCCGCGUCUGAUUAGCUAGUUGGUGGGGUAAUGGCCUACCAAGGCGACGAUCAGUAGCUGGUCUGAGAGGAUGAUCAGCCACACUGGGACUGAGACACGGCCCAGACUCCUACGGGAGGCAGCAGUGGGGAAUAUUUGACAAUGGGCGCAAGCCUGAUCCAGCCAUGCCGCGUGAGUGAUGAAGGCCUUAGGGUUGUAAAGCUCUUUUGUCCGGGACGAUAAUGACGGUACCGGAAGAAUAAGCCCCGGCUAACUUCGUG
This 433-nucleotide ribosomal RNA is filed under the name uncultured bacterium. Its description in RNAcentral is "partial 16S ribosomal RNA". It matches the Rfam family "Bacterial small subunit ribosomal RNA", at positions 29 to 507 of the family's 1533-position model. The record is from RNAcentral.